UUAAAUCAUUAUUUCAGAUUUUAUUACGGUGUAUAUUUACUCUAUUUAUAUCAUAAUACAAAAAAAUAUUAAAAGCCUGACUUUGAUAAAGCGGGACUAAAGGACAUUCAACCCAAAAAUCUUGCCGUUCUAAAACUCACCGAUAACGUUAAUAAAAUUUCAUGAGUACCCAAUUUGAGAGAUUUUUGUUUAUUAAUUCAAUUUUUUUAAUGGAUGAUAAUGGAAUGGUAACCCUGCUGGCGCUAACGCUAUACGCUGGCGGUGCACCAGUGGGAGAUAAUAGGUGAGAAUGCAAAGGCAGGUCAGUUAGCCUAUCGUGAUGAAUACAUCUGUAAUUCAGCACAAUGGUUUCCAAGGGCACCACGUGGAGGUCGACCUGACAGAGUAUAUUUCUAGUAAUGAGAUUGGUAAUUCGCAUUACUAUCAAUCCCUUUCCCCCCCUAAUUUCAUAUUUUCACCGGUCUUUUUUUGUGGAAACAUGCUUAUAAUAAUAUUUUAUUAAAUUUAUAUGUUUAUUACUUCUUAGUGCCUUAGGCUUAACCAAUCAUUAUUAUAGAGAAAGGAAUUAUUAGUAAUGGGACCAACCUUAUUUCCUUGGAAACCGUCGUGAUUAUUUUUUAUUGAAUUCGUUACAAUGGACUAACUGAUCUGCUUUCAACCUCACCUAUUAUCCCUCAUUGGUGCCCCGUCGGCGUAUACUGUAGCCAUUCUAUUAUCUUCCAAUCAUUAUGGUAUUUGGUAUUCAUAUACUACAUGACAUGGAGAAGGAUACAGACUACUUUUUAUCCCGGAUAAAGUCGCGAGUAAAAACUAGUACAGGAUAAUUAACUAGUACAGAAUAAAAACAUUUAUUUAUUUAUUUAACUUCUUACUGCACCAGAAACAUAAAAAUAUACAAUGACAAUUGAACAAUUCAAGUGAAAUGCAGUAACAUAAAAUACAUAUUUAACAUAAAACAUUAUAAGCUCUCAUGACACAGUUAGGUAAAAACAAAAAAAAAUCUAUACAUUCCAGUCAUUUGGGAACAAGAACCAGACUUGGUUAUUUAGAUUGAUCGUUAUCAAUUUGUUUCAACGUAACCGUUAGAACUGUUUACUGCUAACAAAAUGCUGAGUAAGGCUGACACAGCAGCAUGAAACUACUUGUAUGGGAAUGAGAAAGGGCAUGCUACGAUGGUUCGGGUAUAUAGAUAGAAUGACGCAUAAAAGGACAGCGCAACCAAUUAAAAAUAUAUGAAAAGAGUUAGGUUGACCUAUCACGAACAGAUCAAUUUUAUUUGUUUCAUUAAAUCUGCUAAAAUUGGUUGUAUUUCUAUUUUUAUUGAUAUUAUUGUUUUACUAUAUCAGAAUGUAUCGCUUAAAAUUGUGUUCCACAAAAAAUCUACUUGAAUAAUUAAUUAUUUUGAUUUAAAAAUCAAGUUAUUUUGUUUACGAAUCUAAAUUGCUGAAUCGAUCGUGAAAAUUACUACGGGACAAGUCUAUAAGUAUAUACUUUGAGAUAAAAAAUAAUUUUCCAUGCUGGCUUAAAACUAACAAGCAAACAUAAAUACAGAAUACCACCAAAUAGAGAACUCUCCUUCUUUUUUUAAAAUCAAUUGGAAAUUCAGUAAAUUGCGGUUAAUAUUUUUUUUUUUCUUUCUAACGUCAAUAUUGUGAUCGUUGAUGAAUAGAGACGGCAGUGUGUUUGUAGUCAACCUACGUCAUUUAUAACGAUAAAUAGCUACCUUCUAUUACCGUGGAAAUUUCGAGCAUCCUUCUUCAUUAAUUGCAUUCGAAUCACAGCGGUGUAUUUUUUUUUGUUGCGACUUAGAAUGACAAACUAGCUGACGGACCACCUGAUAGAAAGUGCUAACCGUCGCCUACAGCAUAUAGUAUUAUAAUAUUAGUAGCUAUAGGCAUGAACAGCACUAUGGACAUAACAGAGUAUACUGUGUCGCCCAUGGUAACCUUCAUGUGUUGCCAUUUCUGAAAACUAAGGUAUUAUGCCUCUGUACAAUGUAAUUUCCUUACCAUAUAUAAAGAAUAUACUUAUAGAUUGUCCUAUAGAAAUUUUAUUAAAAGUAGUUUAGUUUCUAAAUCAAUAUAUCUGGUUUUGCAACAAGCGAAAUCGAUUGUGCUUAUGGAACAAUCUUAAUUUAUCAUCAUAUCAGCCUUUAACAGUCCACUGCUGGACAUAAUCCUUUCCCAUAAAGGGUGUUUUGCUAAUAGUUUUCACGCAUGGCAGGCGGAUUGGCAACCGCGUGAUAUUUAAAGAGAGACGCGCUGCCUAUCCAUCGACUAUAAACCUUUGUCGCCUCUUACUACCCCUACGAAAGAAGUGGCCUAUUCUAUGCCGGGACCACACGGCGGAUCUUAAUUCACAUUGAUAAUAUUAAAAAAAAUAACUAUGUAACUGAUAGCCUGAUUUUAAUUUAAUAAUUUACUUGUGCUCAUGCGACGAUCAGAUUCGAUUAUCAACGUAUCACUUGUAAUGACUAGGUGAUUACCAGUUUAUAAAUGCCACUAUUAUAUUACAAGCACUACCUAAAACGCACCGCGGCGCCGACCGCCCGUUUGCGUCCCGUUAUUUAUAUCGAAUCAAUAGUUAACUGUUAAACGUUAUCACGACUGCCUUUUGUUAUAUUCGUGCUGGUCACCUUUUUGUUUCAGUCCUUUCUUCAUACAAAACAUCUAGUCUGGCGAAUAAGGUCGCACGGUCAAUUUGUUAUCUAGAAUAUUCUCGGUUAUGGCCAUAAUACUGUUCAUAUCUAUAAACGACGGUUACCACUUUUCAUCAGGGUAACCAUUUAAAUACGUUUGACGGAAUGAUUCGCUUCCCAGAUUAAAAUAACCGUUGUGGUAACCCUACUUAUUAGUCAGAGGAAAGCAGGCCUUGGACUUACGUGGAUUGCAUUUCAACAGGUGAACGGCUACAUAGCAAGCAAGAUGGACCAUCGAUUCCACGUCCCGUUGGAAAUAAAUACCACGACAAAAAAGAAUGGAAAAUAUAAGAGACCUCGUAUUGAAACGGGUUAGAAAAUAUUUCGAACAAUUUUAUGUAAACAAUAUGAUAACGAGAAAAUAUUUAUAACAUCAUGUAUAGACACUCAAGUUUUAUUAAACAAUUUCGUUAUAACAUGUUAUAAAGAAUUUAUUGUAGUGAUUCGAUCAUAAAACAUAUUAAAUUUUAUCCAUUACAUUCUUGGGAAUUGUUGAGUUUCUUUCUUCUCAACUUGAUUAUAUUUCCGUUUACAUUUAUCGAGUCGUUUAUUAGUUGUUUCGACCGAAUAAAUUUUGUGAUUUCGCAUAAGCGUUGCUACUAUUUAAUAUUCUUAUGGCUUUUACUACUUAUUUAUGAUUAUUACCUUGUAUUAUUGGUAUUUAUAAAUUGAAAUAUAAAUUUCUAUGAUAGCAACAUUUACAAUUAUGUUACAAUUUAUUUAAUAAAAUUCUCAUAAUUAUGAGUAAUAAACCAUCUGACUAACAAACAACGCAUAGUAUAAAAAACCUAUGAGUCUAAAAAGAUAUAAGUACCAUGUUUAUUUUUAUAUUUAUGCAACGUGAAAUAACAAACGAGCGAGUGUAUAUAUUAUUCGUAAGUGUAGAAGUAUGAAGUUUUAUAAAAAAGUUCCUUAUUCAUAAAGUAGAUAAGAAAUAAGAAACCGUUGUUUCGUAGGACAAAAAACAGGAAUUGGGAAUCGAAAUUUGUGUUGAAGUUGCAGAUUAAGAAUAUCAUAACAAUUAUCACAUAACUAGUUUAAUAAUAAAAUUUUAAGUGUAUAUUUUAAUUCUAAUUACGUGUAUUACAUUAUGCAUAACUCUGUAAUGAAUUUUCUGCCGAGAUUAUCUUGGAAACUAUAAAAUGGAUAUUUUUUUUUUCAAAAAAGGCAAAACCAGACUUAUUUUCAAAAGGUUUCCUGAGUAUUGGCGACACAUAUAUGACUCCUGGUAUUGCAAGCGUCUAUAGCUAUGGUAACCCUUCAUUAUCAGAUAAGCCGUAUGCUUGUGUAGUAAUAAAAAAUAUAUUAUAAAAGUUAAUUGCACAAACAUGUAUAAGUCAAAGUAGCAAUUAUAGUGACAAACAUAGCAUUUCAAUAUUGUGCCUCAAGCACCUCCUUCCGAUUGUAUCUUGGAGCCUUUGAUGGAGCUAUAAAAAUCAAUGUGACUCGAAUACUAAUCAUGUGGUAAUUAACGAGCUAUUGAACUUGCACGUGGUGCUCGUUCCGAUGAGAUGAGUUCAUUGAAGUCUGUUAACAUUCAAGGAAUACGUUAAUAUUCUCAUACUAAAAUUUAUAUCUGAAUCUGAUUGAAGGAAUACUUUUCUGUGAUAUCAAACUUAUAUUUAUAAAGUGAUAGUUCUUAUUUACAUAACAAUCUACAGAUAUUUCAAGUAGAAAAAAUGGUUACACAAAGUGGAAAAGUUACAAAAUGGUAACCUAAACUUUAGAAAAUUUAGAUAUAAAACAUUUUAUUGCUGUGAAAGGAGAAAUUAAUAUCUAUUCAAACGUAGCCCCCCCCCCCUCCCUCUCAAUUAUUAUAUUAUAACUGUAAUUGUAUUUGAAAAAAUAUUAAUCACCGAGUAAAAAAAUAUUUGUCUAAAAUUUUAAUUUUUCUGCUUCUAAAACAUUUACUUUGUAAUGCACAGCAAUGUGUAUAAUACACAGAGAUAUUUAUUAGCAUAGACGUGUGAACAAGCUAUUUAAUUUUAUUGUAGAUUGCAUUGUUUAUCUACGAGUUAGAAAGAUCAUUUUGAUCACGUUUUAACCUAUUAUCUAUUCCUCCGAUUAUUUAACUACAAAGAAAAUUUUUAUUAGCAUAGACACAAAAGAAUGUGACAUUCCCACGGCCUUUUCGUACAAACUCACGUACCGGCAUAGCUGGCUUCAGUGUGAAAAUAUGCCGAUGCAUGGGCGCUUACUCGCCCGCAAAUCUGUACAGUUAUAGACAACAACACUACUAUUUUGAACUCUAUUAUACAGUAAUAGAAGUUGAAUUAGGAAUGGUAAAUUGCAUUUAAAUGUUUGUCACUGUGUGACGUGAAUUCUCAUUGUAUCACAAUCAUUACGCGCGCCGACUAUCCUUGCGUCAUUGGUUAAAAAGUAUAAAACUUUCUAAGUGUCUGUCAAGUUGCGCACAACUUGAUAUGUCACAAGAAAAGAUUCCGUUUCAUGGCAAUUUACCAUUUAUGUCCAACGAAACUGAAAUACGAUUAAACGAAGAGCACGCAUGCGUGGAAUGCGAAAGUGAAUAAGUAGUAUAUUUCGGCACAAAAAGAUAUAUUGCACUAUUCAUGCAUGCGCAUACGGCUGUUUACAUAACUAAUGUGUAGUCCUUGAAUGUAAGGAUGAAAUUUUUACACUAUUUUACUCGUACUCUCAAUAUUUUUCACUAUUUAAAUGUAAUAUAUAAUUAUAUAUUUUUAUUUUUUGGGAAUACUAAAAAUCUUUUAAAAGGUCGGCAACACACCUGCAAUGCCGUAGGUGUUGUGGGUGAUCAUGGGCGGCGGUAGUCACUUGCCAUCAGGUGAGCCGCAUGCUCGUUUGCCCCCUGUAUUGUAAAAAAAAAAAAAAAACUAAAAAAGAUGAAGUUCGUAAUAGGUGUGUAUUUUUUGUAUAGUAUGUAUAUGGUAUAUUUUCUAAAUACUAAACCGAUAUUGACUAUCUUUUUUGCAAUCGAUAGUAUCCAGUGUUGGUUCCGUUAUAUUAAUUUAGUCGUUGAAGUUGCUGUUUUUUACGAAGCAAAAUUUACUUGUAUUAAAUUUAAAAUUUUCUAUAUAUAUUUUUUUAUAACACAGAGACCAAACGAACAUACUACUCACCUGAUAGUAAGUGACUUCCACCGCGCAUAGGCACCCGCAACACCAGAGGUAUUGCAGGUAUAUUGCCGGCCUAUUAAAAAGUAAUAAGCUCUUUAAUUUAUUUAAAACAAAAGAAAAGAAUAGUACUUAUAUUUUAUUAUAUCUUAAAACUACAUAAUAAAUAUUAUUCAUUUAUUUAUUGUAUAAUCAUUAAUACAUUGUCGUAGCGUCAUAUUCUAAUAUAUAAUCAUAAACAUUACCAUGUUAUCAGCAACAUGCAACCCGUGCAAUGUCAGCUGUUGUCGAUCUGGGCCAACACGAGCACCAGUGUAUACCUAUACUUGUAUACUAGAUACAGAAUAACCGGGCCAACACUCAAGCACUGUUUUCCAACACUGACACUCUAUAAUUGAGCAAUUAUAUUCCUUGCAACAUACUUUUACUUUGGUGUAUCGUGUAUUGCGAUGUGUGUUCGAAUUAAUAGAUGUCAAACGGGAAUUUAAUCUUAGUAAAGUUAUGUAUUCUCUUGGUAGUGAAAUUGAAAUAUGAGUAGUGAUAUCUUAGUCGGAUAACGCGAUCCGGAAUUUCCAAUAUCGAAUCUCAGGUUAAAACUUUUCUUAUUUUUUUUUUUAUUCGUAUUUGGAACUUGGAUAAUAGGUCAUCUACUCUUUGCUUCCGAUAACCUGUCAAACAGUCCUACAGUAAAACACAUUAAAAGAUAUAUAAAAAAAGCUGGCUAAAACACAUAAAAAGGUCGCCGUACAUAAAUAUAAAUGGUAGUGAUAUUUAAUUAAAUGGAAUCCUUAGUAAAAUUAUAAAUGUGAAAGUGUGUUUCUUGUUUUGUUUGUUAACUCUUAUCUCUUUAACUGCUUAACCAAUAAUCAUGAAGUUUAAUAUACACAUACUAUAUAGAACGAAGAAAGACAUAGGUUACUUUUAUUUAACAACGCCCUACGAACAUAUUUCGGUUAUACGAAGUUGCAGAAAAAAGCUAAUAUUUUGUAUAAUUAAGUUAUAAUGGAACGGCACCAGAUCAGAUGUUUCUUUAGUGCAUCGUAAUCCUGUCAUCAUAAAAUACUUAUAACAAAUAUCUCAAUACAUAUUUCUAGUCUUAUGUAGACUAAACUUCUGUUUAGACGGUUAUCGGAUUACUUUUACAAUCCAUUCUCAGUGAAAGGUCAUGUGUCGACCUUUCGUAUUACCCUUCGAUCAUCAUUAAUGAUCGAAGCAUUUACCCAUCUUAUAAGCAGAAUACUAUUUUCGCCUUUCACCCGACACUUUUAUGUCUUCACCAACAUUAUUAUGAUGCCAUGAAUCACUUUGUCAUAUGAGUUAAUAUGUAUAAUGCGAUUAUGUAGACAAACAAAAGAUUUCAGUGACAAAACUGUUAUGAAUUUGCAUUGGCAUGCUUUUACAUUAGUAAGUCCUCGUUUUGGAUAUUCGAUAACUUUAUUAUUCGUUAAAAAAAUCGUUCCCUAACUGCAGUCCACUACUCAGCCUAGUAAUCGAAUAAUUGGAUCAGUAUUCGAAUCUUGUAUUCGUUUUCAAUUGAUUUUUAAUAAAUCGCCAAUCAUUUUAUUACUUUUCCUUUAGUCAUUAGGAGAAAAAUGAAUGAAACGAUAAAAAAGAAACAUAAACGCUUACGAUAAAUUGAUUAUAAUAAGUAUAAAAUUAUAAAACGAAUACUUAAGAUACUCGAAUACUAGUCAAAAGACUCAAGUAUUCGAAUUCUGUAUUCGAGAAUCAUGUAUCCGAAUUCUGUAUAAUAAGUACCUGUUGUACCUAGUACGUAUUCGAGUCAGCUGGACUCGGCAUAUCACUGUUUACAUCUCUACAGCAUAUUCGCAACAGCGGCCAACAAUUGUAAAGAUGUUCCAGUAAAAUUCAUAUAAGUACUGAAUGUUAACGUUGUGAUAAUUUGCAAACACGUUUACGUGAUCAGGAUGUAAUCUGUAAGUGCAUAGGAUUGUUGGCAUGUUGUUUUAUGGUUGUGAACUCAUUGCUACGAGAUGGUUGUGCAAGGAAUACUUGCACCGUUAAGGGAGUUUAUAUCGUAAAGUGGAUUUAAAACUAAGAGAUUACUGUUUGUUUAUGGAGUUUUAUGGGUAUCUUAGCUCUUAUCGCGAUUAGACUUAACAAAAACCUAAAUCUAGCAAUAUGCGUAUUAAUGGCGUAAACUAUACUAUAUUACGUACUUCUUAAUAUUAUAUAAAAAAAGAAAAAUGUUUAGUCGUGCAAUAUGAAUUUAACAACUCAAUUUUUAAAAUUCCUAAGAAAAGUUUUAAAAAGUAUUUUCGAACUUCGAAAGCAAUAUAAAAUACAUAAAUAAAUUUUUAUCGGUCUGUUUAUUGCCCAGACCUAAAUUUUGACAGGUCAAUCAAUUAAUGAAAAAUUAUAAUUAUAAUAAAUAAAAUUAUAUAUAAUAUAAUGAUUUAUACUUAUUCCAGACAAGUACUUCACUGACUUUGACUUAAGAGGCAUUUUGUAGCAAUUCUUUUUUAGAUAUUGCAAACAAUAUGUGGCAUGUUUUAACACGUGUGAUAAAUAAUCAGGCAAUCGCUAGAACAUCUUAUUUAAAACUAUUAUUACUGUGUAAAAGACGUAUAACCAUAUAAUAUAUACUCGUAGUAUCAUAAAUAUGGUAGAAACAAAUUCAAAAGUUAUUUCGAAGCAUUAGAAGUUAUCAUCAUCAUCAUCAUCAUCAUCAUUUUCCUACCCUUAUCCCAAUUAUUAUUUGGGGUCGGCGUAGUUUUAUUAUAUAAAUACAUUACAUAUUACAAAAAAGACUUGGCUUAUAGUUUUACGACCGGCCACCUGCUUGACGUGAACCCUCUUUGGGAAUGCAUUUAUUGAUGGUUUCUGUCACCUACGGUAUGGAGGAAAGGAUUGAGGAAGAAAGGAAGGGAACGUUGGAAAUGCGUGAAGGAAAUUGGUAAAUGAGAGGAAUAAGGGACUUAUGUGGGAAAGGAAAGGGGAGCGGUGGGGGUUACAAGUUAGCAUAAAAUUAAAUAGAUAAUGACAUCAAAAGAGUGAUGAGAUAUUUAUAUCUCUAUGCUCUUAUAUUUUGACAGUUUAAUGUAAAUGAGGUAAAUAAUUAUUGAAUAAUAACUAUCGUAAAUCAUACUAUAUAGUGAUUGUUUAUGUUGGCUUUACUCAGCGGGUCUACCAUGAAAUGUUUUCCGAAAUUUCGGACUCAAUUUCAUGUUUUUGUUUAUACCAAAAUCGGACCAAUAAAUGGAGUUUAACAUUUCGUUCGUCAUACAUCCUAUCAUAAAAAUCCAAAGGAACAAUAUUUUAACAUUUUUAAUAUUUCCAAACGGCUUGUAUUAUGCAAUUUUAAAAUCAAAUUUUUCUUUCGUUUGGCUCCGAAAUUUCGGAAAAUAUUUCAUGCUAGACCCUCAGGUCUUUAAAUGUGGGGAUACUUGAUUAGUUUCGAACUCAAUAGAAGCAUUAUUCAUGAGCGCGGUUUACGGCUGUAUCGCGAGCAGCUCUACGUAACCAGCGCGCUAGAAGCUACCAUGAAAUAAAAUUCCGAGUUUUCGGACUCAAGUUCGUAUUUUCGUUCAUACCAAAAUCGGCCUAGAAAACUAAGUUUAACAUUUGGCUUAUUACAAAUUAUAACAUAAAAGUCUAAAGGAACGAAAUUUUAACAUUUAUAAUAUUUUUGAAUUGUAUAUAUUAUGUAUUUUUAACAUCAAAUUUGGGUUUCGUUCAUCCCCGAAAUUACGGAAAAAAAAUCAUGGUACGCUUUCUGGUUGCGUCGAUUGUCGCCGCGCGCAUGCCUUCGGUGGUAGUGGUAGUGGUAGUGAAACUAAUUGUAUAAAUUGUAUAAAGUAAAAAUAAUUAUAAAUCAUGAAUUACUAACUUAUUGCCAUCUAUAUAAAAUUAUAUAUCUCCAAAUCUUUACACGAAUUAAUUCAAUUACACUGACGCGUUUCCUUUGAUAAAACCGUUUCCUUCCUGCCGCAUAGUCUUAUCAGCUCCGACUCCGUAUUUAUGUAACAUUAUGAUCAUUCAGAAAAUAAAACGUGUUUGUCAAUAAAGUAGUUGGUUAUUAUCAUUGUUGUUAUCAUUUCAUUUUACAACUACUAACAACGAUUUAAAUCUCAGGUGUUUGAUUGUUUCCUGUUUGUCCGGAUUUUCCAAUCUGUUCUAUUAUGUAUUCUAUUUCAAAUUUGUUAGGUGGUAGUUUUAUAAGUCCGAUUGUAUGGUUUAUACUAUCGUUUUACUGGGCACAUAGUCUAAUGACUUUUAGACUUUUGUGUUGCAAUAUUAGUGAUGGAAAUUAACACGAUCAUUUAGAUAAACUAUGAUAAUUUUCCUGAGUUAUUUCGACGUCUCGACUAGAACUAUUGCUUAUGGCACGAGUAGACUGAUAUAGUGGUGCCGUACCUUCGCUUUCGAGGCAGGAGUAUUUUCUUCUAACCACUCAUUGCCUCCAUCAUACAAACUGUAUCCCUAUAGUGAGGGUUUCUGCACACAAACACUGUCUUUAUUUGAUGCAUUUACCAACUGCUUACUAUAGUAAGGUAAUGUUUUUUUUUUUGGAUUACUGGAUUCCAGGUCACGGAGAGUUCGAAACCUUUUUUGUUUCAUAAUUUCAAUCGCUUAACAUUCUUGAAUAAAAACUUCAUUCUGUGGAAAUGGUUUGUGGAUGGUGAAACUCGAUUCAAUGGUUAGUACUCACUUGCAGUAAAUGUUCUGCAAUCGCUAAUUAGCUAGUUUAGCUAUUUUUAAUAGCUGUGAUAUGUUCUUUGACCCUUUCAGCUAUUAUCUGCAUAGUCUGAUCUAUAAUAAGUAUAAAUUACCACAAUUCCAAUUGAUAUUAUAGAAACCUGGUGUUAGAAAAUGCAGUACUUUUGCAAUGGAGAGGGACAGACUGUUGUUAUUUCCAGUAUUAAAAUAACCAAGAUAAAAUAUAACUGAUCAUGAAAUUCAAAUAAUGUUAAAUCUUACUAUGUUGAUUACACUAAAACCGUAAUGUGAGGACCGUUAGUUUGUACAAAUUAUUCACUAACAGGGAUCUGUCUUAACUGUUCUCUACAGGACGACAUAGUAACAUAUAAUGGUAUUACCUCAAAGCCGAUUACGUUAGUAAUUGGGUGAGUGACAAAAGGACUCUUAUGUAAUCCAAUACGCAUAACAUAAAGACAUUCGCCUUUUGUGGAUACAUAUUAUAAUUAUAACGUAAUACUAACACUGUGUUGAGAUAUAUCCGCUAAAUUAUUAUAUGAGUAAAUAGACUAAAAUUAUACAGCGUAUAGUCGUGGAUAACUAAUAUAAAUAUAUUAGGUAUGGAAUAUUUUAUAAGUAACAUGUUUAAUUUCAUAUGAAAUAGGUACAUGUCACAUGCUACUUCCCCUCAUAUAUUAGAUACUGUUACAAAUAGUGCUGAGUGAAAAAGCGUGUUAAGAACCUUUUAGUUACAUCGUUCGUCAUCAUCAUCCUUCAGAUUUUUUUACUUUUUUUUUGACACAGCUUAUUUUGGUCUUAUUUUUUUUUAUUAAUGUUUAACCAUAAUACUUGUCAUGUAUUAUUGCAAUUUCGCAAUGCCCGAUCUGGUAAUAUUACUGCCCCGGACAAAAAUAAUAUUUGUUAUUCUUUUUAACGUUAAGCCGCCCCGAAUUUUCCCGGAUUACUCCCAAGGUUCUAUCAUAAUGUUUUUUUUUUUUAUUUUUUCACACAAAUCUCCAUCUUUUUACAUCAACAUUGUUUUAAAAAUAUUAGUCUAUUCACUGUUGGCAUUCAUCGACUAAAAAAAUCUUAUCAACCCCGUUUCCGUCUUUCAUGACAAAUAAUCGUUUAAAAAAUAUUCUAUUAUACAGGAAAUUAUCCGACAGUGAUCUAGUUCAACUACAUUUAAGAGUAACUAGCUAGUAAACUAGUUGCGUGUAAAUAAAAAAUCGGGUGUGUCGCGUAGAAAAUUGUUAAGGUAUAAAUAGUAACUAAAUCCAAUUUAAUCCUGUACUAGGAGCUUAUCUUGUGGGCGCAGCCGGCGGUAGACGCUUGGAAAAUUGAGAAAAAUGGUGGUUGAAGCGUGUUAGCGUGGGCAAGGGGCGAGGAGGUUGGGGCAUACAUGCCGUGACGACAUCUACAAACUCCGUGACGUAACGAAUGGCGCGCCCCCGUCGCUCGCCGCCUCGUUGGACUCGUGCAACCUCAAGUGUUGACUACUUUUCAAGUUUCUUUAAAGUAUUUUUUUUUUAUUUUAAUCUACUUCAAAAGAAGGCUGUUUUCAUUUUGAUUGUAGUUUUUAUACGUUUGUUACCUUAUAACUCCGUCAGAUGUAAAUCUUCUUCUUGUUCAUCAGCUUUAUUUUUAUAUACAGAUUGGUCAUAUAGAUUUUUUUAAAAGGUUGAUUUAUUAAGACUUUAAAUGAAAAAAAAAAUAGUUUUGCUGCAAUUAAAGGCUGUUUUUUUUAUGAAACAUAUUCUUAAUUAUUGUUAAAGAGUUUUCCAGUCAACAAACAUAAAAGAAAUCUUAAUUUCAAAUGUAUAAUAUUAGUAAUUACAUUUGUUGAAUUUGUUAUAUUGUGACUUUUUUUUUUUAAGUAGGCAGAUUUUAUAUUUAAUGACAGAUAGGUAUAUAGAUAUAGCAUUAAUGUUUAAUGUUCCUGCCUACCAUUGGGGAAAUAGGCGUGACAGAUAUGUAUGUAUAAAUAGAUAAACAAAUACACACAAUUUAUUUGUAUUAAAGGAAUAUACUUGUAUAAGUAUAAAUAAUAUACCUAUACAGAAAAAUACUGUUUAUCUAGGUAUAACAAAUAAUCAACAGAAAUAAUUUAUAAUUCUGAUAUUAUACAAGAAUAAUUUUCAAUUUUGCAUCCCAAUUUACAUUUUUCUACUCGAAUAUACUCAAGUGACAUUUAAAAAAUAAUUUCACGCUACGAAACUCGUUACUGUGGUUACGUAAAUGCAUAGCCAUAGAUGAGUUCGCUAGCGCCUGUUGCGUUUCGAUUUACGAGUAUGUAGGCGUGUCGGGAUGUUGGGAGAUUGGGGUGUUUUUCGCAAUUAUGGGUAAAAAUAUAUCUCUUAGAGAAGUUUUGGAAAGAAAAAAAUAUCGUGAACAAGUUUAGGUGCCUAUUUUAAUUUUUAGUUUUGAUACUUGCAAAUCGUAAAUGCACCCGUGUAAAUCAUUAUGUUUAUAUUGUAUCCUAUGUUUUAAGUUAUAAAAUAAUAUAUCUGUCUAAAAUUUAUUCAAAUACAUUCGGUAGUUUUUACAUUAAUGGGAAACGAACUA
Long non-coding RNA from Galleria mellonella (greater wax moth), 13014 nucleotides. RefSeq lists it as uncharacterized. The transcript is spliced from 3 exons. The record is from RefSeq and is a predicted model, not a curated record. Lineage: Eukaryota; Metazoa; Arthropoda; Insecta; Lepidoptera; Pyralidae.